CACGUAGGGUGCGAGCGGUGUCCGGAAUUAUUGGGCGUAAAGAGCUCGUAGGCGGUGUGUCGCGUCGGCCGUGAAAACCUGCAGCUUAACUGUGGGCUUGCGGUCGAUACGGGCAUCACUGGAGUUCGGCAGGGGAGACUGGAAUUCCUGGUGUAGCGGUGAAAUGCGCAGAUAUCAGGAGGAACACCGGUGGCGAAGGCGGGUCUCUGGGCCGAUACUGACGCUGAGGAGCGAAAGCGUGGGGAGCAAACAGG
Molecule: ribosomal RNA, 254 nt
Filed under: uncultured bacterium
Lineage: Bacteria
Description: partial 16S ribosomal RNA
Rfam family: Bacterial small subunit ribosomal RNA
Source: RNAcentral